GACGAACGCUGGCGGCGUGCUUAACACAUGCAAGUCGAACGAUGAAGAAGAGAAACGCGAACUUCGGUUCAAAUUUCACUUCGGAUUAGUGGCAGACGGGUGAGUAACGCGUGAGCAACCUACCUCUUACAAAGGGAUAGCCUCGGGAAACCGUGAUUAAUACCAUAUGACACAUUCAUAAGGCAUCUUAAGAAUGUUAAAGCUACGGCGGUAAGAGAUGGGCUCGCGUCCCAUUAGCUAGUUGGUGAGGUAACGGCCCACCAAGGCGACGAUGGGUAACCGGCCUGAGAGGGUGAACGGUCACAUUGGAACUGAGACACGGUCCAAACUCCUACGGGAGGCAGCAGUGGGGAAUAUUGCACAAUGGAGGGAACUCUGAUGCAGCGACGCCGCGCGAGCGAUGAAGGAAUUCGUUUCGUAAAGCUCUGUUCUAUGGGAAGAAAAGGACUGUACCAUAGGAGAAAGCCCCGGCUAAAUACGU
Molecule: ribosomal RNA, 481 nt
Filed under: uncultured bacterium
Lineage: Bacteria
Description: partial 16S ribosomal RNA
Rfam family: Bacterial small subunit ribosomal RNA
Source: RNAcentral